Solanum dulcamara is the source of this 1481-nucleotide long non-coding RNA. RefSeq lists it as uncharacterized. The transcript is spliced from 3 exons. The record is from RefSeq and is a predicted model, not a curated record. Lineage: Eukaryota; Viridiplantae; Streptophyta; Magnoliopsida; Solanales; Solanaceae.
AUCCCCCACACCAGAGCUUAUUGCAAAGGUUAUAGUGCAGCUGGGAAAUGCAGAGCUAACAACGUCUAAGCUCUUCAUAGAGUUUCUUUUGUCCUCUAGGAAACCAUCAAAGAUAAUCUCCACUGGUCUAUUUCUUCUGACAUUUGAGCGGAGACUGAGAACCAAGCUCUAUGUUUAGAACAAUAAGAGUUGCUGCACUGUUCCUCAUUUUUCACUGUUUCUUGUUUCUUGUUGUGGCGCCUUUCUCUGAUGUGAAUAAUAACCUUGUACUAUGAGAACACAGUUAGUCGGGUGAUGGCAAAGAGACCACGUCAAUCCAAAAGGGAUGUUACAACCCGAAUUCCACUAAGCCGUGAUGUCGCCUAACCAACCCAUCAAGCGAAUCAAUCAACACGAAUAUACCCAGAAAAUGAGACAAUAACAUAAAAGUAUAGUUUGGAUUGGAACUUUAGGGGCUCGGAUGAGUUUCAGCAUACUUGAAACAGUCUGGAAUUUUUUUGAACUGUAGUAGCUCGCAAUGCAGCCGAAUGUGGCUGGUCGGCUGUGCACCAACACUGGUCGAGUGCAACCGACAAUGCGCCAGAGCUGCUAAGGUCCUGCCUAGGCAUUUCAAAGUCGAGUUCAGUAGUUUUAUUUCAUUCUUCAAUAUUUUAAGACUUGGGGAGCUUGAUUUUGAGAGGUUCCAAGUGAGGAUUUCAUCUAUUUCCUUGGGCAGCUUCAUGAUGUGACCCUUGGAAGCUUGGUAACUUUCCAUUAUUGAGCCAGUACCAAAUAACAUGUGUAGUUCAUAUUCUGCAACCGGCGAUUAGCCAUGUAAUUGAUGCUCUGACUACGGGGGUGGUUGAUGAACUAUGGAGGUUCAAAGUUUCCUCACUAAACACUUAAAUACAUCAAUAUUGAGCUUAUUGGACUUAUGCUUCAUCAUUUGAUAUAGUUGCAUCAGAGAACAGGUAAGACAAUGGUUAUUACAUUGUGUAAACUUGCCAUCUUUUCGGAUAGAACUGUUUGAUUGGUUUUGUAAGAUUCAGUAAUUGACUCUUUUCUCUGUUUGUAGUGAAAAUUUUUAGAUCUUUAAUUUGAAUUUCAAGUAUUAUUCUAUAUUCAAUACAUAAUUGUAACAUCCUCCAAGUAAUGGAUUUAAGGAUGCUUGGAGUGUUGAAGCAUAUCAUUUACUUUCAAAACUUCCAAUAAGAUGCCCCAGAUAAUUGGUAAAUCUACAGAACCUGCAACUAGUCGUGGUUGCUCUGUCCUAUUAUAUUCAGAGUUAGUUACCUCUCGUUUGCAUCUGAAGCCAUUGAUCUUAGGUAGCAUUUCUCAUUUCCCCCCAAAUUUCUUUAGCUUUAAGUUUUUCUUAUUUGUUAAGUGCUGAUAUGAUAAUAUUCUAUAGUGUGUUUCUGGCACACACUUACGCUGUGAAGCACAAUCACUUGUUGUCUCUGAUGCUUCAAUCAUGGCAGUUUUAUUGUUCUCGUUCUAUUUGC